RNAcentral lists this long non-coding RNA (3745 nucleotides) under Sus scrofa (pig). RNAcentral describes it as "lncRNA (multiple genes)". Lineage: Eukaryota; Metazoa; Chordata; Mammalia; Artiodactyla; Suidae. The record is from RNAcentral.
AGAAAUAAAUUUGAUGUUUUCAACAACAUGGCAGUUCUCAUAAACUAUAUAAAUUACCAAAAUUGAUAUAUUUGCAAUAGAAAAUUUACACCAACCAAUAUCUGUAGAAUAGAGUACACUUUUAUGAAGUCAGCAUUCCCUUUAUACCAAAGAAAAAGACACUUCAAGCAAACUAUAGACCAGUAUUCCUUAUGAACACUGAUACAGAAAUCCUCAAAAAAUUACUGGGAAACAGAAUUUGGCAGCAUAUUUAAAGGAUUAGACACCAUGACCAAGUGGAGUUUGCUCCUGCAAAGAAAGGCUGGUUCAACAUGGAAAUCAGUGUAAUAUGCCCAUCAACAGAAUGAAAAGGAAAAAGCCCACAUGAAUAUCUCAUUUGAUAGAGGAAAAGUACUUGACAAAAUUUAACACACUUUCCUGAAAAGCACUAAAAAAAAAAAAAAUAACAGUAGGAGGAAGCUACUUUAACAUAAUAAAAACCAUUUACAGAAAAACUCAGUGAAUAGCAUACUCAAUGGUGAACGACUAUGAGUAUUUCUUCUAAGAUCAGGAACAAGACAAGAAUACCCUCUUUAGAUCUAUUCAAGAUAGUACUGGAAGUGCUGGCCAGAGAAUUAGGCAAGAUAAAAAAAGUAAAAGGCAUCCAAAUUGGAAAGGAGAAAGUGAAAUCUCACUUUGCAUAUUACGUCAUCUAAUAUAUAGAAAACCAUAAAUAUUCCACAAAAACCUCAGAACUAAUUAAUUCAGCUAAGGAACAGGAUUCAAAUCAACAAAUUAAAAUCAAUUGCCCUUCUCUUCACUAACCAUGAACAGUUUGGAAAGAACACUACAAAAGCAAUUCUAUUUGAAAUUGCAUUAAAAUACUUAGUGAUUAACAUAGCCAAAAAGAUGAAAGACUUGCAAUGAAAACUACAAGGUCUUGUUGAAAGAAAUUAAAAGAAACAUCAGUAAGUGGAAACAUCCUAUAUUUCAUGGCUUGGAGGACUUCCUAUGCUGAAUUGCUGAUACCACCCAAAGUGACGUGCAUAUUCAGUGUAAUUCCUAUCCCCAGUGACUUUUUUUGUUUUCCAGAAAUAGGAAAAGCUGUUUUAAAAUUUACAUGAAAUCUCGAGGGACCCUAAAUAGCCGAAACAAUUCUGAAAAACAAGAACAAAGAGAUUUCAGAACUUAACACAAAGAUGCAAUAAUCCAAAAUAGUGUUGUAUUGACAUAAGGACAGACUUAUAAACUAAUAGAAGAGAGCCCAGAAAUAGAUUCUUAUAUAUGUGGUCAAAUGAUUUUUUACAGGGUGCUGAGACCAAUGGGGAAAUGUCAGUCUUUUAAGUGCAUGGUGCUGGGAAAACUGGAUAUCCCUAUGUAAAAGAAAGAAGUUGGACCCUACCUAAAACCAUAUCCAAAAAUUAAAUUGCAUCCAGAAUCUAAAUGUAAGACCUAAAAUAUAACAUUUUUAGAGGAAAAUAAAACCUUUAUAAGCAUUGGAUUUGGCAUUGACUUCUGGGAUGUGACACCAAAGACACAGGUAUCAAAAGUAAAAAUAGACAAGUUGAACUUCUUAAAAAUUUUUUUAAAAAUUAAUGCAUUUUUUAAAUUAAUGCAUUGUGGCUCAGUGGUAAUGAGCCCAACUAGUAUCCAAGAAUAUGUGGGUUUGCUCCCUGGCCUUGCUCAGUAGGUUGAGGAUCCAGCAUUGCCAUGAGUUAAGGUGCAGACACAGUUCAGAUCCUGCAUUGCUGUGGCUGUGGUGUAGGUGGGCAGCUACAGCUCAGAUUUGACCCAUAGCCUGGGAACUUGCACAUGCCAUGGGUGCAGCCCUAAAAAGACAAUAAAUAAAUAAAUAGAUAGAUAAAUAAAUAAAUAUGCAUUAGAAGACAUACUGCCAAUAAAGUAAAAAGGCAACCCAUGUAAUAUCUGAUGCUCAACAUCACUAAUUAUUAGGGAAAUGUGAAUCAUAACAAAAAUGAGAUACCACCUCACACCUAUUAGGAUGGGUACCAAAAAAAAAAAGACAAAAAGUGCUCAUAAUAAGGUUGUGGAAAAGAUGGUACCCAUGCUUCAGCAUGAUGCAUUAUUUAAUCUUCCUUUUUUUAAUUUUUUGCUUAAUAUUGCAUUGUAUAAAUAUACCACUUCGUUUAUCCAUUUAUCAGUUUGUGGAAAUAUAUGUUUUCAUUUUGGGGCUAUUGUAAAUAAUACUGCUAUGAAUAUAUGUUUCCACUUUGGGGCUGUUGUUAAUAAUGCUUCUGCAACUUUUUUCAAAGUAGCUCCAUUUUACAAUCCUACUAAUAAAUUAUGAUAUUAAUUUUUCCACAUCUCCCCCAACAAUUAUAUUAUUUGCUUUUUUUUUUAAAGUCAUCCUAGUGAAGUGAUAGCCCAUUUGCUUUUCCCUAAUAAGUAGUUAUGUAUUAUAUCUUUUCAUUAGCUUAUUAGCCAUUAGUAUAUUUUUUUGGAGAAAUAUCUAUUUGAAUUCUUUGGCUAUUUAUUGACUGAGUUCUUUUUAUUGUUGAGAAGUCAAAAUCCUUCAUAUAUUCUAGAUAAAAGUUCUUUAUCAGAUACAAGAUUUUACAAUAUUUUCACCAUUUGAUGGAUUACUUUUAAUUUUCUUGAUGUUCUUCAACACACAAAAGUUUUUAAUUUUUAUGAAGUCCAUUUUACCUGCUUUUUUCUUUCGCCACUUGUGCUUUUGGUGUCAUUUCUAAGGAAUCAUUGCCUUACCCAAUUAUGGAGAUUGAUUUCUAAAUUUUGUUCCAAGAAUUUUAUAUUUUUAGCUCUUAAAUUUUGUUGUAUCAUGCAAAAUUGGUAAUUGUUUUGUAUAUGGUAUGAAGUACAGGUCCAAAUUCAUUUCUUGGCAUGUUGAAUAUCCUGUUGUCUGAGCACUAUUUGUUGAAAAGACAACUCUUUCACCAUUGAGAAGUCAUGGCUUCCCUGUCAAAAAUAAGUCUAUGUAGAUGUAUGGGUUUAUUUCUCUACUCAUUGUAUUUCCAUUGAGUGAGAUGAAUGGAUAGAUGUAUGGAUGGAUAGAUGGAUGGAUAGAUAGAUAGAUAGGUAGAUAGAUAGAUAGAUAGACAGACAGACAGACAGACAGAUAAUCCUUAUAGUGGUACCAUACUGUCUUGAGUACUGUAGCUUUGUAGUUUAAGCUUUACAAUGGAGAAAGGUGAGUCUUCGAACUGUGUUCUUUAUUUUAAUGGUUGAUUUGACUGUUUUGGCUCUCUUGCAUUUCCUCAUGAAUGUUAGAGUCAUAUUGUGAAUUUCUGCUAACAAGCCAGUUGGGAUUUUGACAAGGACUAUGUUGAAUCUGUGAAUCAAUUUCAAGAGUGCUGCCGUGUUAACCUAUGAACAUAACAUACUUUUCCAUUUAUUUAGGUUUUGUUUAGUUCCUUUCAGCAAGGUUUUUGUAGUUUUUUGUGUACACAUCUUAUACCUGUUUUUUUAAAUUUAUUCAGUAUUUGUGAUGCAUUUGUAUAUGGAAUUGGUUUCCUAAUUUCAUGUUAUAUUAUUUAUUGCUAAUAUAUAGAAAUAGAAUUGUUUUUAUAAAUUGAUCCUGUAAACUUGCUGAACUUAAUUAUUACUUCUGAUAGUUUUGUGCAUUCCUUAAGAUAUUUUAAAUAGAGAUAUAUUUACAGUACCAUGUCACUUUCAGGUGUACAGCAGAAUAAUUCAGUUACGUGUGUAUUUUUCAGAUUAUUUUCUAUUAUAGGUUAUUGCGAGAUAUUGAAUAUAGUUCCCUGUGUUAAUCAUUAAAUCCUUGGUG